RNAcentral lists this ribosomal RNA (497 nucleotides) under uncultured bacterium. Its description in RNAcentral is "partial 16S ribosomal RNA". It matches the Rfam family "Bacterial small subunit ribosomal RNA", at positions 28 to 507 of the family's 1533-position model. The record is from RNAcentral.
GAUGAACGCUGGCGGCGUGCCUAAUACAUGCAAGUCGAGCGAACGGACGAGAAGCUUGCUUCUCUGAUGUUAGCGGCGGACGGGUGAGUAACACGUGGAUAACCUAAUUAUAAGACUGGGAUAACUUCGGGAAACCGGAGCUAAUACCGGAUAAUAUUUUGAACCGCAUGGUUCAAAAGUGAAAGACGGUCUUGCUGUCACUUAUAGAUGGAUCCGCGCUGCAUUAGCUAGUUGGUAAGGUAACGGCUUACCAAGGCAACGAUGCAUAGCCGACCUGAGAGGGUGAUCGGCCACACUGGAACUGAGACACGGUCCAGACUCCUACGGGAGGCAGCAGUAGGGAAUCUUCCGCAAUGGGCGAAAGCCUGACGGAGCAACGCCGCGUGAGUGAUGAAGGUCUUCGGAUCGUAAAACUCUGUUAUUAGGGAAGAACAUAUGUGUAAGUAACUGUGCACAUCUUGACGGUACCUAAUCAGAAAGCCACGGCUAACUACGUG